RNAcentral lists this ribosomal RNA (503 nucleotides) under uncultured bacterium. RNAcentral describes it as "partial 16S ribosomal RNA". It matches the Rfam family "Bacterial small subunit ribosomal RNA", at positions 30 to 523 of the family's 1533-position model. The record is from RNAcentral.
AUUGAACGCUGGCGGCAGGCUUAACACAUGCAAGUCGAGCGGUAGCACAGGGAGCUUGCUCCUGGGUGACGAGCGGCGGACGGGUGAGUAAUGUCUGGGAAACUGCCUGAUGGAGGGGGAUAACUACUGGAAACGGUAGCUAAUACCGCAUAACGUCGCAAGACCAAAGAGGGGGACCUUCGGGCCUCUUGCCAUCAGAUGUGCCCAGAUGGGAUUAGCUAGUAGGUGGGGUAACGGCUCACCUAGGCGACGAUCCCUAGCUGGUCUGAGAGGAUGACCAGACACACUGGAACUGAGACACGGUCCAGACUCCUACGGGAGGCAGCAGUGGGGAAUAUUGCACAAUGGGCGCAAGCCUGAUGCAGCCAUGCCGCGUGUAUGAAGAAGGCCCUCGGGUUGUAAAGUACUUCAGCGGGGAGGAAGGUGUUGAGGUUAAUAACCUCAGCAAUUGACGUUACCCGCAGAAGAAGCACCGGCUAACUCCGUGCCAGCCGCCGCCGUAA